This is a long non-coding RNA of Helianthus annuus (common sunflower), 771 nucleotides long. RefSeq lists it as uncharacterized. Lineage: Eukaryota; Viridiplantae; Streptophyta; Magnoliopsida; Asterales; Asteraceae. The transcript is spliced from 2 exons. The record is from RefSeq and is a predicted model, not a curated record.
UCUAAAGUACGUCUCCCUCUCUCUAAAGUACAUCUUUCUCUCUCUAAAGUAGUCAUACUUUCUAGAUCUAGAUCUUAUGCUUACAUCUCUCUCAUUCUCUAUCUAAAUCAUAAUUUCUAGAUCUAGAUCUUAUUCAUUUCAUGCCAAUCUGAAUUAUAUUCAUUUGCAAGAUCGUUUCACAAAUCACGUGCGUCAUCUUCUUCUCUAAAUCUCUGUAAGUAUCUUUGGAAUUCAAUAAUGUGUUCAAAACUUCAUUUAAACACAUAAACUCGAAAUGGAGAUUAUUUUUCCGGAUGCAAAGUGGAGAUGAUUUUACUGGCUGGCGAGUGCUCGUGAUGUCAUGCAAAGUGAAGAUGAUUCGAACACGGAUCUUUUGAUUUUUCUGACAUCCAUAUGCGGAAGUGAAAGUGAACAUGGUGUUAGCUAGGCUAACAUUCACCAUUAAAAAAAGAACUCGCAUGCGAUUAAAGAACAAACAAUAAAGUAGCAAUCGUUCAACAAUCAUCAUUAUAUAUUUCGGAUAAGUCCUUCCAUUGUUAAUGCCCAUUUUUGGAUGAAGACGGAUGUUGUUGUGAACGCCAUUUUUGGAAGCAUUACAACUAUUGAUAUAAAAUUCAUUUUUAUUUUCAUUUUCAUUUUUAGUAUGCCCAUUUUUGGAUGAAGACGAAUGUUGUUUGUGAAGGCCAUUUUUUUCGAUGUAACAACUAUAUGUAACAUGUGUAACUUUGAUGUUGUAACACAUGUAAUAAUUAUGUGUAACAUGGCUAUACA